ACGGGGCCCGCACAAGCGGAGGAACAUGUGGUUUAAUUCGAUGAUACGCGAGGAACCUUACCUGGGCUUAAAUGUAGAGUGCAUUUUUUAGAGAUAGAAAUUCCCUUCGGGGCUUUCUGCAAGGUGCUGCAUGGUUGUCGUCAGCUCGUGCCGUGAGGUGUCGGGUUAAGUCCCAUAACGAGCGCAACCCUUAUCGUUAGUUGCCAGCUGGUAAAGCAGGGGACUCUAGCGAAACUGCCACCGUAAGGUGAGAGGAAGGUGGGGAUGACGUCAAAUCAGCACGGCCCUUAUGUCCAGGGCUACACACGUGUUACAAUGGCCGGCACAGAGGGCAGCUACCUGGUGACAGGAUGCUAAUCUCGAAAACCGGUCUCAGUUCGGAUCGAAGUCUGCAACUCGACUUCGUGAAGCUGGAUUCGCUAGUAAUCGCGCAUCAGCCAUGGCGCGGUGAAUACGUUCCCGGGCCUU
RNAcentral lists this ribosomal RNA (468 nucleotides) under uncultured Sphingobacteriales bacterium. Its description in RNAcentral is "bacterial SSU rRNA". It matches the Rfam family "Bacterial small subunit ribosomal RNA", at positions 916 to 1381 of the family's 1533-position model. Lineage: Bacteria; Pseudomonadati; Bacteroidota; Sphingobacteriia; Sphingobacteriales. The record is from RNAcentral.